AAUAAGUAUGUCUUGUUUGAUUUUAGUUUCGACGCGCGGUGGCGGAAAAAGAAUUUUUGAAAAAGAUUUCAACGUGCGGGGCAAAAUAGAUUAAGUUUGGUGUGUUUGAGAUCGAUUUUAAGGCGGAUGACGAGCAUUCGACUGAUCAAGCGAUAAGGCUUGUAUUUAAACGCUCGCAUACCUAUAAGGAGAUACAUCCCAUAAGUCUUUUUAUCCAGUUUUUUUAUUAUAAAAAAAGUUAU
RNAcentral lists this long non-coding RNA (242 nucleotides) under Lathyrus oleraceus (garden pea). Its description in RNAcentral is "Pisum sativum (pea) long non-coding RNA (PSAT_LNC019598)". The record is from RNAcentral. Lineage: Eukaryota; Viridiplantae; Streptophyta; Magnoliopsida; Fabales; Fabaceae.